This 1846-nucleotide long non-coding RNA is filed under the name Mus musculus (house mouse). RNAcentral's name for it is "RIKEN cDNA 4933433G08 gene (4933433G08Rik)". The record is from RNAcentral. Lineage: Eukaryota; Metazoa; Chordata; Mammalia; Rodentia; Muridae.
CAAUCCAAGGGCAUCUUUGCUUAAACAGAGUGACUUUCCCAUGGCAGUGAGCAGAAAUUUCUGCGUGUCUGUCCAUUCUCUUGUUUUCUCCAUGGAUACAAGGUGUAACUGACUAACUGACCACAGCAGCUCACAGUGCUAACCACUGAGCAACAGCAUUUGAUGAGCUGAGUUGUGUGGCUAGCUUGCUACCACCAGGCCCCAAGUCCUGAGCCCCAAAGGAAAGGGAAAAGAUAACACUGCGACAGACAGAAGAACACAGCGGAAGUUAACAAGUGCCUCUUCCAGCACAGUAUCUCCCUCUGAAGCUUCCCACCCCUUCAGAGGACAACUGUGCAGAAGCCCACAGUGGGCCUCUGUAACAGCCAGUCCCAGUGCCUAGGUAAACCAAGCACCAGGCUGAGCAUGCCUGGGCACCUUCUUGUCAUGUCUUAUUUACCAUGAGCAGUGAAACAAGGGCUCUUGCCAUUCCUACCUGUUGGGUGUGAAACAGAACCCACAAUGUUGAACGACUUACCCAAGGUCACACGGCCAGCCAGAGAGGAGGUGCUAACUCAGAUGCAUUCAGGUGUGUUGGAGAGACACGCUCCCCACGUGAUCAUGUCUGAAAGGUGAAAGGCCCUGGUAGGAAUCAAGAAGAUGACAGUAUAAACGUGCAGAUUGGCAGCCUAGACAGGCUUGAGGGACAUCUAACCCAGCAAGGUCAUGAAUGUUAGCAUUGUAAGGUCAAGACAGAGCAUGGUUGCUUAUAUUCUCACAUCAGCUCUUUUGAAAAGGGACUAAAAAGUUCAGAAAGGUAUGGGUUGAGGUAGGGGAUUCGUUGCCAGUGAUUCUCAGGCCCGUUCCACAUUAGGCUAUAUAGUUGUCACUUUGGGGGUUAGAGACAAAAGUGGCACGUAAUCAGAGGCUGUGGAAGAUGCUGAGGACUCCAGAGGUUGGCAUGGAGGCAGGUGGACUCUCCAUUUGCAGAGGAGAUGAGCUCUGCCUCUAAUGCAUCUUUGCAACAUCAAUGCAUCCCUGAAAGUGUUCCAACUCAAUCCAGGAUGUUCCCUCUGGCUCCCUGAAGUCAUGCCUGCUGUCCCCACAUUGAAACACGUAGCUUACAUAGACAGCGCCGUUACCUCCCACCUCUGAACACAGUUGGAACCGCUCACAAAAGACUUGCCAAAGACAUGGGUUGACCUGUUCCUAAGAUACAGGGUACAAAGGCAGCUGUCUAUGCAAGUUCACAAAUGGCUCCCAAGGGGUCUUGGCUGGACUUAGGGCCCUACAUCUGACUGGUGGUUGAACAUGACACACAUUUACAACAUGGAGGGAGAUGGCAGGACAUCACACUCUCAACACUGUGACAAGGCAGUGUCAGAGUUCGGGCACGGCCUCAGUAUUCACACAAAACCCAACUUGCACUUGGAACAGACAAGAGCUUCUCAUCCUUGCGAACAGCCCCGUUCUCCCAGACCUCCCUUCCCAGUUUCUUAAAGACUAGUCUCCAUGCCAACUUAAAUAUUGCAUUUGGUUGGGAGAGAAGAAACCGCGAGCCCAGAAUGGAAGUCAAAUUAUUCCACAAAUAUUGCUUAUUUAAAUAACAUUUUUAAAAAUACAUCAUGUUCAGUGGUGAAGAACUACUAAAUUAUUGAAUUCCCCGAAGCAUCCUACAGGCUUUCAAGUGGCUCAUGAAGCCCUAUAAAAGAACGUGAUAAAUAGUCAAAAAGGAACGCUGGGCUCCACGUCAGGAUGCCUGGAUGAGCCAACGUAAAACAUCUUCAUGUAAGCUUUCCACUUAAACCGGCGAUUAAACAGAUUAAACAGAUGAUUAAACAAAUAAAGAUUAAUGAAACAAGUAAAG